Suncus etruscus (white-toothed pygmy shrew) is the source of this 209-nucleotide small nucleolar RNA. RefSeq annotates it as small nucleolar RNA U3. NCBI's taxonomy places the organism in Eukaryota, Metazoa, Chordata, Mammalia, Eulipotyphla, Soricidae. The transcript has a single exon. The record is from RefSeq and is a predicted model, not a curated record.
CAGUCCCUCAGGAUCACUCUACAAUUAAUUACUAGAGAAAGUGUCUCUGAUUGUGUAGAUCACCUUGAAAGUAUGAGGAGGAUUCAGAGCAACCUCUUUGGAAUGUGAAGCUGGCUCUAAAUGUUAUUUUUGCAACUGUAUUUUACCAUUGAUGAUCCUUCUUUUCUUUUUUUAGAGGAUUAAGAGGGAGAAGAAGAAGUCUGAGUGAU